GAUGAACGCUGGCGGCGUGCCUAACACAUGCAAGUCGAACGGGAACAGAAUGAAACCUAGUGAUUUCUGUUUCAGUGGCGGACGGGUGAGUAACGCGUGGGUAACCUACCUUGCACUGGGGGAUAACACUUAGAAAUAGGUGCUAAUACCGCAUAAGCGCACAAUACCGCAUGGUAGAGUGUGAAAAACUCCGGUGGUGCAAGAUGGACCCGCGUCUGAUUAGCCAGUUGGCGGGGUAACGGCCCACCAAAGCGACGAUCAGUAGCCGGCCUGAGAGGGUGAACGGCCACAUUGGGACUGAGACACGGCCCAA
This 313-nucleotide ribosomal RNA is filed under the name uncultured bacterium. Its description in RNAcentral is "bacterial SSU rRNA". It matches the Rfam family "Bacterial small subunit ribosomal RNA", at positions 28 to 334 of the family's 1533-position model. The record is from RNAcentral.